UGUAAAAAAAAUUUAUCUAUUGAUAUUGUUAAAAACUGGUGUGGCUAAUAAAUAAUCAAAUAUUAACAAGUGGUGUGCUAUACGUACCUCAUGCUGAUGUAUAUGAACCAAUUUUUAACGGUACGAAUGGAUGAAAUUUUUAAUA
Non-coding RNA from Gossypium raimondii (Peruvian cotton), 145 nucleotides. The record is from Rfam. NCBI's taxonomy places the organism in Eukaryota, Viridiplantae, Streptophyta, Magnoliopsida, Malvales, Malvaceae.